RNAcentral lists this ribosomal RNA (253 nucleotides) under uncultured bacterium. RNAcentral's name for it is "partial 16S ribosomal RNA". It matches the Rfam family "Bacterial small subunit ribosomal RNA", at positions 524 to 776 of the family's 1533-position model. The record is from RNAcentral.
UACGGGGGGGGCAAGCGUUGUUCGGAAUUACUGGGCGUAAAGGGCUCGUAGGCGGCCAACUAAGUCGGACGUGAAAUCCCCAGGCUCAACCUGGGAACUGCGUCCGAUACUGGAUGGCUUGAAUCCGGGAGAGGGAUGCAGAAUUCCAGGUGUAGCGGUGAAAUGCGUAGAUAUCUGGAGGAAUACCGGUGGCGAAGGCGGCAUCCUGGACCGGCAUUGACGCUGAUGAGCGAAAGCCAGGGGAGCAAACGGG